AUACGGAGGGUGCGAGCGUUGUUCGGAAUUAUUGGGCGUAAAGAGCAUGUAGGCGGUCUGUUAAGUCUGGUGUGAAAGCCCGGGGCUCAACCCCGGAAGUGCAUUGGAUACUGGCAGACUUGAGUAUGGGAGAGGAAAGCGGAAUUCCGAGUGUAGGAGUGAAAUCCGUAGAUAUUCGGAGGAACACCAGUGGCGAAGGCGGCUUUCUGGACCAAUACUGACGCUGAGAUGCGAAAGCGUCGGGAGCGAACAGGAUUAGAAACCCGAGUAGUCC
Molecule: ribosomal RNA, 274 nt
Filed under: uncultured bacterium
Lineage: Bacteria
Description: partial 16S ribosomal RNA
Rfam family: Bacterial small subunit ribosomal RNA
Source: RNAcentral